This 497-nucleotide ribosomal RNA is filed under the name uncultured bacterium. RNAcentral describes it as "partial 16S ribosomal RNA". It matches the Rfam family "Bacterial small subunit ribosomal RNA", at positions 28 to 507 of the family's 1533-position model. The record is from RNAcentral.
GAUGAACGCUGGCGGCGUGCCUAAUACAUGCAAGUCGAGCGAACGGACGAGAAGCUUGCUUCUCUGAUGUUAGCGGCGGACGGGUGAGUAACACGUGGAUAACCUACCUAUAAGGCUGGGAUAACUUCGGGAAACCGGAGCUAAUACCGGAUAAUAUUUUGAACCGCAUGGUUCAAAAGUGAAAGACGGUCUUGCUGUCACUUAUAGAUGGAUCCGCGCUGCAUUAGCUAGUUGGUAAGGUAACGGCUUACCAAGGCAACGAUGCAUAGCCGACCUGAGAGGGUGAUCGGCCACACUGGAACUGAGACACGGUCCAGACUCCUACGGGAGGCAGCAGUAGGGAAUCUUCCGCAAUGGGCGAAAGCCUGGCGGAGCAACGCCGCGUGAGUGAUGAAGGUCUUCGGAUCGUAAAACUCUGUUAUUAGGGAAGAACAUAUGUGUAAGUAACUGUGCACAUCUUGACGGUACCUAAUCAGAAAGCCACGGCUAGCUACGUG